GCUGGGCGUGGUGGCGCACGCCUGUAGUCCCAGCUACUUGGGAAGCUGAGGCAGGAGAAUCACUUGAAUCAGGGAGGCGGAGCUUGCAGUGAGCCAAGAUCAUGCCACUGCACUCCAGUCCUGGUGACAGAGUGAGACUCUGUCUCAA
Unclassified non-coding RNA from Macaca fascicularis (crab-eating macaque), 148 nucleotides. It matches the Rfam family "Metazoan signal recognition particle RNA". From Rfam's summary of the family: The signal recognition particle (SRP) is a universally conserved ribonucleoprotein. The record is from Ensembl. Lineage: Eukaryota; Metazoa; Chordata; Mammalia; Primates; Cercopithecidae.